AUUAACAAUCCCCUUUUAUUUUCCUUUCCAUAUUUUUUCUUUCUUGUUUUAAUUAACCAACUUCUCUGUCACAAACAACCAUCAAAUAAUAACGAUACCACACCAUCAUAAACCAUACCCACCACCACCCUUUUCCCCUUAUUAGCCCCUCUCUUCAAAUUCAAUGAUUCCUCUGUCGUAAGAAGAAGAAGUGGGUGUUGUUGAAUGGUGGAGAAGGAGAACUACAACUACAAGGCACAAGAAGAAGAAGAAAGUGGCAGAGACGACAACUCAUGAAUAACUAGAGAUCAGAAGAAACAAGGAAACACAUACACACACUUUGGAGCUGAACUAGCUUUUUUUCAUGCAUGAACAAGGACACCCUAUAUUAUUUCUUCCUUUGAAACACCAUGGCUUACCCACAUUACCGAUCACAGUUCGGAGACACAACGUUCACUAAGGUCUUCGUUGGAGGCCUAGCUUGGGAGACUCCAACCGAAGAAAUGCGCAAAUAUUUUGAGCAGUUUGGAGACAUUCUUGAAGCUGUCAUUAUCACUGAUAAGAACACAGGAAAAUCUAAAGGCUACGGAUUCGUAACCUUCCGUGAUCCAGAAUCAGCUAGAAGGGCAUGUACUGAUCCAAACCCAGUUAUUGAUGGAAGAAGAGCAAAUUGUAACAUUGCUUCUCUAGGAAGACCUAGACCAUCACCACCUAGAGGAAGAGGUACAUUCCAAGGAGGAGGAGCACCAGGGACGACAGCAGCGUCGUACGGUGGUGUGCCAGCGGCAGGACCACCGCCGGCACUGGCGCCUCCACCACCGCCGCUAGUUUACCCGCCAUAUGGCUACCCUACCUACACCCCUGAUUAUGGGUACCACCAAGCCACGAUGUAUAACCCACAAAUUCAGCAACCACAAUACUACCACCAACAACUCUAUGGACCAUCAUCUUCCACCAUGGGUUCCCCUUAUUACUAUGGCUAUUCUGUGCAAGCACCAAGGGGCACAUUCUCUUCAACCCAACCACAUCGCUUACCAGCUGGACCCUCCUAUCUAUACUACCCCACACCCAUGGAAGGCUCUUUCCCUGCUUAUCGUCCUCCACCUCAAUUGCAACAACUUCCAAUAAGGCAACCCCCUUCUUCCCCUAGUGGGGUCCACAUGGGCAACCCCAGCCCCAUGUGAAUGAGCUGUCUCGGUUGUGCCAUGAACCGUAUAAUGCAUGGGUCAAUGUGGAAGAAAGUCAUGACAGAGGGAGAGGGUCAUCAUGUAAAGUAACAGUGAAUGCAUGUGGUUUCAGUAGGAAAAAAAAAAUAUUGUGGUGGUUAAAUUGUUUAAAGAACCAGUCAAAUGGUCUUGCAUUCAUGCAUUGGCCCACAGUGCAUGUCACAUACUACCACUGCUAUUCACAGACUCAGCAGCGUACCUCCUCCGAGACAGCAGGUGGAGUAGUUAUAACUUCAGAAAGUUCAAAUACCCAAGGGAGGAACUGAUAAAUAUAUAUACCUGCUAAGUUUCAACUGUAUAAUCUUCAAAUUAAAUUUUAUCACAUUAAUUCUUGAUCUUUUUCCACAUCAUAUCUUCAUUUUUUUGGUCCACAUGCUGUAGCUUUUAGGCAAUAAUGGUUCGAUCUGAUCAGAUGAGUUGUGUUCCCCACAGCUAUGGCAUUCAAAAGUUGGACUAAUCAUCUACUUCAUGGAGAUUAUCUUCAUUCUCUUUUCCUUGUCUUCAAGGAUUUUCACUUAUAUCACUUUUACUAAUUAAUUCUAUUUUCUUUUAAGUUA
Molecule: RNA transcript, 1762 nt
Organism: Glycine soja
Lineage: Eukaryota; Viridiplantae; Streptophyta; Magnoliopsida; Fabales; Fabaceae
Gene name: RNA-binding protein 38-like
Exons: 7
Source: RefSeq, a predicted model, not a curated record